AAACUUGAGAGUUUGAUCCUGGCUCAGAACGAACGCUGGCGGCAUGCCUAACACAUGCAAGUCGAACGAAGUCUUCGGACUUAGUGGCGCACGGGUGCGUAACGCGUGGGAAUCUGCCCUUGGGUACGGAAUAACUCAGAGAAAUUUGUGCUAAUACCGUAUAAUGACUUCGGUCCAAAGAUUUAUCGCCCAAGGAUGAGCCCGCGUA
Molecule: non-coding RNA, 208 nt
Organism: Beta vulgaris subsp. vulgaris (sugar beet)
Lineage: Eukaryota; Viridiplantae; Streptophyta; Magnoliopsida; Caryophyllales; Amaranthaceae
Source: Rfam